ACGGGAGGCAGCAGUGGGGAAUAUUGGGCAAUGGACGCAAGUCUGACCCAGCAACGCCGCGUGGAGGAAGAAGGCUUUCGGGUUGUAAACUUCUUUGACAGGGGAAGAGCAGAAGACGGUACCCUGAAAACAAGCCACGGCUAACUACGUGCCAGCAGCCGCGGUAAUACGUAGGUGGCAAGCGUUGUCCGGAUUUACUGGGUGUAAAGGGCGUGUAGCCGGGUCGAUAAGUCAGAUGUGAAAUCCACGGGCUCAACUCGUGAACUGCAUUUGAAACUGUUGAUCUUGAGUAUCGGAGGGGCAAUCGGAAUUCCUAGUGUAGCGGUGAAAUGCGUAGAUAUUAGGAGGAACACCAGUGGCGAAGGCGGAUUGCUGGACGAUAACUGACGGUGAGGCGCGAAAGUGUGGGGAGCAAACAGGAUUAGAUACCCUGGUA
This 436-nucleotide ribosomal RNA is filed under the name uncultured Oscillibacter sp. RNAcentral's name for it is "bacterial SSU rRNA". It matches the Rfam family "Bacterial small subunit ribosomal RNA", at positions 341 to 792 of the family's 1533-position model. The record is from RNAcentral. Lineage: Bacteria; Bacillati; Bacillota; Clostridia; Eubacteriales; Oscillospiraceae.